UUUAAUAAUUGAUCGAAAUUUGAACCUUGAAAAUAUCAGAAAAAUACAUUAUAUUAUUUUCAGUAUUUUUAUACUAAAAUUAGCAUAUUACACCGUUUUCGACCAUUUUGCAACAUUUAAAAUUUUUAAUAUUUUGUCCUACACAAUGCAAAGCUAUAUAAAGUCGUCAAUUGUGUUUAGCUUGUUUUGUGGAACUGAAUCUGAUAAAGAUUAAAAAUACUAAAUAUGUACAGCACUUGAGCACUUAGAAGAGGAGGUUUCUGUGGUCGCUUAGUAAAUUCAAAGUGCAGCAUUUGGCAGAACUAUGGCAGAGGCUCCAUUUGUUACGUGUGGAUGGCGUAACUGAUGACGCUGUUCGACGAGAGCGAGGAGAGCGAGUGGCACAUCCAUUGUUUGAUCAUCCACAAGCACAAUAUCAAAGGUAUUCAUAUACUUUUCCAUGUUUGCCUCCACGUGAUCAAAUAGAAACCCUAUUUUCAUGAUGUGAGAUGAAGCGGGCACACCGUUAGCCAUGUCCGCAUCGCCGAGAGAGUCACCCAUGACAAUGAUGUGAUCACGUGUGUGUACAAGCUCAUAAUACUCGCUGCCAUCCAAUACCGUUUCGUUUUUGUUGAAGGUGUGAAUCAUCGGCUGCUGGAAGCCAUCGAGCACCCCGUCGCGAUACUGCAAAAAGUUUGACACGACCUUGACAUUGGGAUGCAUUAUGUUUGCUUGCUGCAGCACCGACACUACGGAAUUGCCCAGUCCGGCGGAGAACACGAGCACCGGUAUUUGGAGACGGAGAA
Long non-coding RNA from Drosophila sulfurigaster albostrigata, 785 nucleotides. RefSeq lists it as uncharacterized. The record is from RefSeq and is a predicted model, not a curated record. The transcript is spliced from 2 exons. Lineage: Eukaryota; Metazoa; Arthropoda; Insecta; Diptera; Drosophilidae.